AGAGUUUGAUCCUGGCUCAGGAUGAACGCUAGCGAUAGGCUUAACACAUGCAAGUCGAGGGGCAGCGAGAGAGUAGCAAUACUCUUGUCGGCGACCGGCGCACUGGUGAGUAACACGUAUGCGACCUGCCCCCUACAGGAGAAUAACCCGUAGAAAUGCGGCCUAAUACUCCAUAGUCCCAGAGGCUGCAUGGCCUUUGGGGGAAAGGUCCGCCGGUAGGGGAUGGGCAUGCGGCGCAUUAGCUAGUUGGCGGGGUAACGGCCCACCAAGGCGACGAUGCGUAGGGGUUCUGAGAGGAAGGUCCCCCACACUGGUACUGAGACACGGACCAGACUCCUACGGGAGGCAGCAGUGAGGAAUAUUGGUCAAUGGGGCGAGAGCCUGAACCAGCCAAGUCGCGUGAGGGACGACGGUCCUACGGAUUGUAAACCUCUUUUGUCGGGGAGUAAUGUGCGGCACGUGUGCCGUAUUGAGAGUACCCGAAGAAAAAGCAUCGGCUAAUUCCGUGCCAGCAGCCGCGGUAAUACGGAAGGUCCGGGCGUUAUCCGGAUUUAUUGGGUUUAAAGGGAGCGUAGGCCGGGUUUUAAGCGUGUUGUGAAAUGUAGACGCUCAACGUCUGAAUUGCAGCGCGAACUGGAGCCCUUGAGUGCGCUGGAAGUAGGCGGAAUUCGUGGUGUAGCGGUGAAAUGCUUAGAUAUCACGAAGAACUCCGAUUGCGAAGGCAGCUUACUGUUGCGUUACUGACGCUGAAGCUCGAAAGUGUGGGUAUCGAACAGGAUUAGAUACCCUGGUAGUCCACACGGUAAACGAUGGAUACUCGCCGUUCGCCCACUUGAGGGUGAGUGGCCAAGUGAAAACGUUAAGUAUCCCACCUGGGGAGUACGCCGGCAACGGUGAAACUCAAAGGAAUUGACGGGGGCCCGCACAAGCGGAGGAACAUGUGGUUUAAUUCGAUGAUACGCGAGGAACCUUACCCGGGCUUGAACUGCCGGCGAACGAUACAGAGAUGUUGAGGCCCUUCGGGGCGCCGGUGGAGGUGCUGCAUGGUUGUCGUCAGCUCGUGCCGUGAGGUGUCGGCUUAAGUGCCAUAACGAGCGCAACCCCUGUCCUUAGUUGCCAUCAGUUAAAGCUGGGCACUCUGAGGAUACUGCCACCGCAAGGUGUGAGGAAGGUGGGGAUGACGUCAAAUCAGCACGGCCCUUACGUCCGGGGCUACACACGUGUUACAAUGGGGGGGUACAGAGUGUCGG
RNAcentral lists this ribosomal RNA (1250 nucleotides) under wallaby gut metagenome. RNAcentral describes it as "bacterial SSU rRNA". It matches the Rfam family "Bacterial small subunit ribosomal RNA", at positions 8 to 1250 of the family's 1533-position model. The record is from RNAcentral.